AGCGACAUUAAGAGCUCUUGUAAUUUGAAGAUAUCUGAUGUUGAUACAUACAUUCAUGGUCUUCAAAGUUCUCUCAUUGCU
This 81-nucleotide small nucleolar RNA is filed under the name Sorghum bicolor (sorghum). Its description in RNAcentral is "snoRNA snoR160". It matches the Rfam family "Small nucleolar RNA R160". From Rfam's summary of the family: snoR160 is a C/D box small nucleolar RNA, which acts as a methylation guide for 25S ribosomal RNA in plants. snoR160 has been alternatively named snoZ270 in rice. Lineage: Eukaryota; Viridiplantae; Streptophyta; Magnoliopsida; Poales; Poaceae. The record is from Rfam by way of RNAcentral.